This 301-nucleotide ribosomal RNA is filed under the name uncultured bacterium. Its description in RNAcentral is "partial 16S ribosomal RNA". It matches the Rfam family "Bacterial small subunit ribosomal RNA", at positions 509 to 809 of the family's 1533-position model. The record is from RNAcentral.
CAGUCGCCGCGGUAAUACGUAGGUGGCAAGCGUUGUCCGGAAUUAUUGGGCGUAAAGGGCUCGCAGGCGGUUUCUUAAGUCUGAUGUGAAAGCCCCCGGCUCAACCGGGGAGGGUCAUUGGAAACUGGGAAACCUGAGUGCAGAAGAGGAGAGUGGAAUUCCACGUGUAGCGGUGAAAUGCGUAGAGAUGUGGAGGAACACCGGUGGCGAAGGCGACUCUCUGGUCUGUAACUGACGCUGAGGAGCGAAAGCGUGGGGAGCGAACAGGAUUAGAUACCCGAGUAGUCCCUGUCUCUUAUAA